UACGUAGGGGGCGAGCGUUGUCCGGAUUUAUUGGGCGUAAAGCGCGUGUAGGCGGCUUGGCAAGUCAGUUGUGAAAGCCCGGGGCCCAACCCCGGAAUUGCAUCUGAAACUGCCUAGCUAGAGUCCCGGAGAGGAAGGCAGAAUUCCCGGUGUAGGGGUGAAAUCCGUAGAUAUCGGGAGGAAUACCAGCGGCGAAGGCGGCCUUCUGGACGGUGACUGACGCUGAGACGCGAAAGCGUGGGGAGCAAACAGG
Molecule: ribosomal RNA, 253 nt
Filed under: uncultured bacterium
Lineage: Bacteria
Description: partial 16S ribosomal RNA
Rfam family: Bacterial small subunit ribosomal RNA
Source: RNAcentral